CAGAACGGGCUCCCUACCCGCGUCCUCGACCCAUGGGUCCUCACCUCCAGGCUGGUGUCCUCAUUUUACAGUGGAGGAGGCCGAGACCAAGGGGCUUGGCGGGGACGGAACGGUGAGGUCAGAGAAUGCUGCAGAGGGGACAUUGGGACCAGGUCUUGCAGUGAGUUGAAGUGCUCCAGGCAGAGAGCGCCGGUGGGUCUUUCCUGGCCAGGCCGCAGGGGGCCUUUGGGAAGCACCCGAGGCCUAUAACCUUCGGAGCGUUUGUCAAGCUCUAAUGAGAACUGGAAAGCUUCAGCUUCCCGAGGUGGGCUGGGAGGGCCUUAGGUAGGGCCUCGCACAAAUUGCGAAGGAAAGCCGACCUUGUUCUGGAGAGCACGUGGUGAGGAAAGCCAGCGACUUGAUGUGAGCAUUUAAACGGGAGGAAGGAAGAUGAGAACUGGUAA
RNAcentral lists this long non-coding RNA (443 nucleotides) under Homo sapiens (human). RNAcentral describes it as "non-protein coding lnc-PAFAH1B1-2:1". The record is from RNAcentral. Lineage: Eukaryota; Metazoa; Chordata; Mammalia; Primates; Hominidae.